AUAUAUAUAUAUAUGUAAUGGUAAGAUCCAAGGAUCAAAGUGUAGGAAGUUAGUAAGUUUCGAGUAGUCCAUAGAAGGUAUAAAAAGCAACUUUCAGGAACAAGAGUGGCUUACUAACAUAAAAGGUUGUAAAUUUUCCC
Long non-coding RNA from Octopus sinensis (East Asian common octopus), 140 nucleotides. RefSeq lists it as uncharacterized. NCBI's taxonomy places the organism in Eukaryota, Metazoa, Mollusca, Cephalopoda, Octopoda, Octopodidae. The transcript has 3 exons. The record is from RefSeq and is a predicted model, not a curated record.